Paramuricea clavata is the source of this 262-nucleotide non-coding RNA. The record is from the annotation of a GenBank genome assembly. Lineage: Eukaryota; Metazoa; Cnidaria; Anthozoa; Malacalcyonacea; Plexauridae.
CUUUGCCACUAGCGAUAAAUUCGGCCAUUUCCUCGUUAAUAUUGACAGUGCCGCCCUCGACUGCGUCAAUAAUUAACACCAAGUAUUUGCCAUUUCUGUCGCGCUCGUCCAUGCGACACACAAGUUCUUUACCAUUGACCUUUUCCAGAAAUUUGUGAACGAACUUGUUCUUCUUCUUCUCUGAAGACGAUAAGUUUGUGAGGCUACAUUCGAUGGCUUGCACUGGCAGCUCCAGAAACUCAGGAUUCAAUACAGCAACACU